CGCCCCUACCACCUGACACUCCUCUCCGUCUUCUCCUUCCUGCUCCUCACCGGCCUUGUGGCUGCUGAUCUGUCAGGAGGGAAGAAGGUCGGGAAGAUAGUGACCCUGAGUCCCUGACCGUCCAGUACCCGGCUGUGGACUCGCCACCGGGGGAGAAGACCAAGAUCUCAAUGCACUACGCCAAAGAGAACGGGGGCGGCGACCGCCAUUUGGAUCUCGACUGUGACAACGACGAGCCCCUAUGUUUCGGCAUGAAGUACCUUGUCUCAACCUUGGAGGGGAAGAUACGAGAUGCGCGGGAGUCGCGAUCCGAGCUCUAGUAGCGUGGUAGGUAUGCCCAGUGCCCACUGCCCAGUGGAGAUUGGAGAAGGAGCUCAAAUUUUGUGUUGUACUAUCUGCAACUGGUGCCCAUCCGGCGAGGUAGUACCGUAAUAGCGUGGUAGUAGCGUGCAGGGUGCUGGAGUAUGUCGAUCUUCAGGUAUCUCUGUAGUAUCUCUUGGAUUGUGUGUGUCGCCUAACAUAAGAGGCGAUCGUGUGAAUCUCUUCCGAGUUCGUUCGUGAAAGAAA
Triticum dicoccoides is the source of this 567-nucleotide long non-coding RNA. RefSeq lists it as uncharacterized. The transcript has 3 exons. Lineage: Eukaryota; Viridiplantae; Streptophyta; Magnoliopsida; Poales; Poaceae. The record is from RefSeq and is a predicted model, not a curated record.